Solanum tuberosum (potato) is the source of this 2412-nucleotide long non-coding RNA. RefSeq lists it as uncharacterized. NCBI's taxonomy places the organism in Eukaryota, Viridiplantae, Streptophyta, Magnoliopsida, Solanales, Solanaceae. The transcript is spliced from 3 exons. The record is from RefSeq and is a predicted model, not a curated record.
CAUUCCCAAUUUAGAAGAUUUUCCGUAUCUCCAAUCCUUGGAUCUUUCCCUAAAUAAUCUAUCAGGGCCAACCACUCACUUCAUUGCAAAUCUUAUAACUUCCUUACUCUACUUGAACUUAUCUUUUAACAAUCUAGAGGGUGAGGUUCCUGUCACCGGAAUAUUUUUAAAUUUGAGUACAGAUAUAUUAAUCGGGAACUCCGAGCUUUGUGGUGGGAUUCAAGAGCUGCAUUUACGACCUUGUGUUUAUCAAAAGACACGGAAGAAGCAUGUACUUGCCUGAUAGGGAGCUUGCCCCUAAGAGCUCUUCUGAGAAGAAAAGAACAUUUGAAAGGGAUGUUUCCUUUUUCUGGUAAUAUUUCAAACACUAGCACAAGAGAAGUUUCCAUCAGUGUUAGGUUUCCGAUUGGCAGAGUCUGGAGACAUAGUAUGGUGUAUCUCAAUGGACAAAAUGGAAGGAAACUUCUAAGAAGGAGCCACUCUAUAAAUAUCAUUAUCAUUAACCCAACUCUUGAUUAAGUAAAAGAUUAGUUAGGCAACUCUCCAGUCUCCCCUAACCUUGCGUGCAUCAGAAGGUCGUGACUUUUUCAAUCCCAGUUCAUGAGUUGGAUAAUUCUUAAUUUAUAUUAUAAAGAAAAGAUUAGGUGGAUCAAGCACCAAUGUCAAAACAAUCUUGAAGAAAAAUGCUAUAAAAAUAAAAAAAAUUCACUACAACAAAAAUAAAUUUUAGCAGUAAUAAAUAUACACAUUAACAAAGAGGGCUAAGUUUUUACCGACAUUAGUUAAUUUUCAUUAGUAAUGUAUCUAUAGGCUUUAGCGGCAUUCAAAAAGAGUGAUAAAAUGUAAUUGUCACUAGGUCCCGAAAAAAUAUAUUUAGCGGCAAUUACGCAAGCUAUCCAUUCGAACCUGUCUUUGCCUAGCAAGAUACGUCUAGUUCUCCCUCCUCUUGCCUAUCUCAGUAGGAAAUUGGAACAGUCCGAUUUCAAAGAAAGUCGUUAAUUAUUUACCUCUAAAGAUCAUUUUUGGUGUAGUAUGUUGAGAUGUCAUUGGCAGCUUGUUUUAUAAUCAUGCGUCUUAUAUCACGUAUUGGUGCUCCAAUACCAACAACGACAUUUCUGAGAGGUAUCAUCUUUUGCUUCUUGACAUUUUCCAGAAUGGAAAUUUUCACAGCGAGUUUUAACUUCCACACCUUUCUGGCUAUACAUGCUGUGUUUCUUGUGUUCCUAUUCUCAUUUUCUCUCCAACAUAUUGUAUCAGCUGCUUUUCUUGGCAAUGAAACUGACAAACUUGCCUUACUUGGAUUCAAGUCCCAAAUAACUGAGGAUCCAGCAAGAGUUUUCGCCUCUUGGAACGAUUCUGUUCAUUUCUGUCAGUGGACUGGAGUAAAAUGUGGCCUGAGACACGGAAGAGUCAUCCGUUUGAAUCUCAAAGGGCGAGGCUGGCAGGUAUGAUCUCAGAUGUAUUAAACUGGAACUCCGAGCAUUUUGGUGGGAUUCAAGAGCUGCAUUUACGACCUUGUGUUUAUCAAAAGACACAGAAGAAGCAUGUACUUCCCUCAAGCAUGAUACUUCACAGAAUGAAUAUCAUAAUAUGUGGCCUCUGCACUUCAUUAUCUUCACCAUGAGUGCCAAACACCCAUGAUCCACUGUGAUAUAAACCACAGAACAUUCUUCUUGAUGAAGAUCUCACAGCUCAUUUGGAUGAUUUUGGUUUGGUGAGACUCAUUCUUGAUGAAGAUCUCACAGCUCAGUUUAGCUCACUUGGAGUUAUGGGAACCAUUGGCUAUGCAGCUCCAGAAUACGGCAUGGUAAAUAAGGUCUCCGCUUUAGGAGAUAUGUACAGUUUUGGGAUUCUCAUAUUGGAGAUAUUCACUGGAAGAAGACCCACAGACACUUUGUUCCAAGCAAGCUCUAGUCCUCACCACUUUGUCGAAACAGCGUUGCCAGAGAAAGUUAUGGAGAUUCUAGACAAAACAACUUUUCAUGGUGAGAUGAGUAAAGCAACCAACGUCAAAGAACACUGGGGCAGUAUCAAGAAAGAAGAGAUGGAAUGCUUGGUUAGCAUACUUGAGAUUGGUGUCGCAUGUUCAGCUGAAUCCCCAAGAGACAGAUUGACCGUGACACAAGUUUACAGUAAGUUGACACUAAUGAGAGAACAAUUUCUACAAAGGGGAGGUUGAGGCCACAGGCUACAAGUGAAAGCAUUGGAUUUCAUCUAAAAUGGUUUAAAUUCUGUCUACUUGGUAAGAAUGCUAACAUUCUGUCCAGCAUGCAGAAGAACUAAGGUAGUGUCAGAUUUCUUGUUACUUAAUGGAUUUAGUCUAGAAACAUCAGAUAUUAGUUCUUAAUGUCUACAUCAGAUAAUACGUUUCAUUCAUGAAUGUAAAGAAUCAGAUGUUUUAGGAGAUCAUAA